Molecule: ribosomal RNA, 460 nt
Filed under: uncultured bacterium
Lineage: Bacteria
Description: partial 16S ribosomal RNA
Rfam family: Bacterial small subunit ribosomal RNA
Source: RNAcentral
CCUACGGGCGGCAGCAGUGAGGAAUAUUGGUCAAUGGACGAGAGUCUGAACCAGCCAAGUAGCGUGAAGGAUGACUGCCCUAUGGGUUGUAAACUUCUUUUAUAUGGGAAUAAAACAGGGUAUGCAUACCCUCUUGUAUGUACCAUAUGAAUAAGGAACGGCUAACUCCGUGCCAGCAGCCGCGGUAAUACGGAGGAUCCGAGGGUUAUCCGGGUUUAUUGGGGUUAAAGGGAGCGUAGGUGGAUUGUUAAGGCAGUGGUGAAAGUUUGCGGCUCAAACGUAAAAUUGCAGUUGAAACUGGCAGUCUUGAGUACAGUAGAGGUGGGCGGAAUGCGUGGUGUAGCGGUGAAAUGCUUAGAUAUCACGAAGAACUCCGAUUGCGAAGGCAGCUCACUGGACUGCAACUGACACUGAUGCUCGAAAGUGUGGGUAUCGAACAGGAUUAGAUACCCUAGUAGUC